UGCAGUCGNNCGGUAACGCGGGGCAACCUGGCGACGAGUGGCGAACGGGUGAGUAAUGUAUCGGAACGUGCCCAGUUGUGGGGGAUAACUGCUCGAAAGAGCAGCUAAUACCGCAUACGACCUGAGGGUGAAAGCGGGGGAUCGCAAGACCUCGCGCAAUUGGAGCGGCCGAUAUCAGAUUAGGUAGUUGGUGGGGUAAAGGCCCACCAAGCCAACGAUCUGUAGCUGGUCUGAGAGGACGACCAGCCACACUGGGACUGAGACACGGCCCAGACUCCUACGGGAGGCAGCAGUGGGGAAUUUUGGACAAUGGGCGCAAGCCUGAUCCAGCCAUGCCGCGUGCGGGAAGAAGGCCUUCGGGUUGUAAACCGCUUUUGUCAGGGAAGAAACGCUCUGGGUUAAUACCUCGGGGUAAUGACGGUACCUGAAGAAUAAGCACCGGCUAACUACGUGCCAGCAGCCGCGGUAAUACGUAGGGUGCAAGCGUUAAUCGGAAUUACUGGGCGUAAAGCGUGCGCAGGCGGUUAUGCAAGACAGAGGUGAAAUCCCCGGGCUCAACCUGGGAACUGCCUUUGUGACUGCAUAGCUAGAGUACGGUAGAGGGGGAUGGAAUUCCGCGUGUAGCAGUGAAAUGCGUAGAUAUGCGGAGGAACACCGAUGGCGAAGGCAAUCCCCUGGACCUGUACUGACGCUCAUGCACGAAAGCGUGGGGAGCAAACAGGAUUAGAUACCCUNNNAGUCCACGCCCUAAACGAUGUCAACUGGNUNGUUGGGAGGGUUUCUUCUCAGUAACGUAGCUAACGCGUGAAGUUGACCGCCUGGGG
This 824-nucleotide ribosomal RNA is filed under the name uncultured bacterium. RNAcentral describes it as "bacterial SSU rRNA". It matches the Rfam family "Bacterial small subunit ribosomal RNA", at positions 56 to 878 of the family's 1533-position model. The record is from RNAcentral.